UACAGAGGGGGCGAGCGUUGCUCGGAAUUACUGGGCGUAAAGGGCGCGUAGGCGGCCCGCUAAGUCGCACGUGAAAUCCCCAGGCUCAACCUGGGAACUGCGUCCGAUACUGGCAGGCUUGAAUCCGGGAGAGGGAUGUGGAAUUCCAGGUGUAGCGGUGAAAUGCGUAGAUAUCUGGAGGAACACCGGUGGCGAAGGCGGCAUCCUGGACCGGUAUUGACGCUGAGGCGCGAAAGCUAGGGGAGCAAACGGG
RNAcentral lists this ribosomal RNA (253 nucleotides) under uncultured bacterium. RNAcentral's name for it is "partial 16S ribosomal RNA". It matches the Rfam family "Bacterial small subunit ribosomal RNA", at positions 524 to 776 of the family's 1533-position model. The record is from RNAcentral.